Molecule: long non-coding RNA, 227 nt
Filed under: Capsicum annuum
Lineage: Eukaryota; Viridiplantae; Streptophyta; Magnoliopsida; Solanales; Solanaceae
Description: long non-coding RNA (CANN_LNC009514)
Source: RNAcentral
CACUUAAAUCUAAUUCUUUUCCUUUUAUUUCAUCAAAUAUAUUACUGUCAAAUAUUAUCUUUUGUUCCGUUCCUUCAUCAUUUAAAUAUUCUUCCUUUGUUAUUAUUUUUAUAUCUUCUUCAGUCAUUUGAUUCAUCUAUUUCGCUAUCUAUUUCAUUAUCUGUUUCGUUUUCUGAAAUUUCAUAUAUACUAUCUUCACUUUCUAAUUCAUAAUCUAUAUAAUCUAU